UGGGGAAUAUUGCACAAUGGGGGAAACCCUGAUGCAGCAACGCCGCGUGAGUGAUGAAGGUUUUCGGAUCGUAAAGCUCUGUCUUUGGGGAAGAUAAUGACGGUACCCAAGGAGGAAGCCACGGCUAACUACGUGCCAGCAGCCGCGGUAAUACGUAGGUGGCGAGCGUUAUCCGGAUUUACUGGGCGUAAAGGGAGCGUAGGCGGAUGAUUAAGUGGGAUGUGAAAUACCCGGGCUCAACUUGGGUGCUGCAUUCCAAACUGGUUAUCUAGAGUUCAGGAGAGGAGAGUGGAAUUCCUAGUGUAGCGGUGAAAUGCGUAGAGAUUAGGAAGAACACCAGUGGCGAAGGCGACUCUCUGGACUGUAACUGACGCUGAGGCUCGAAAGCGUGGGGAGCAAACA
This 402-nucleotide ribosomal RNA is filed under the name uncultured bacterium. Its description in RNAcentral is "bacterial SSU rRNA". It matches the Rfam family "Bacterial small subunit ribosomal RNA", at positions 355 to 774 of the family's 1533-position model. The record is from RNAcentral.